RNAcentral lists this ribosomal RNA (438 nucleotides) under Rhynchostegium pallidifolium. RNAcentral describes it as "eukaryotic LSU rRNA". The stretch from base 1 to 119 matches the Rfam family "5.8S ribosomal RNA", at positions 35 to 154 of the family's 154-position model. Lineage: Eukaryota; Viridiplantae; Streptophyta; Bryopsida; Hypnales; Brachytheciaceae. The record is from RNAcentral.
GAUGAAGAACGCAGCGAAAUGCGAUACGUAGUGUGAAUUGCAGAAUUCCGCGAAUCAUCGAGUCUUUGAACGCAAGUUGCGCCCGAGGCUUGUCCGAGGGCAUUUCCGCUAGAGCGUCACCGCGCCCCCCACCGAUCCGCUCCCGCCGCGAGGCGCCAGUCGGUUCGAGUGGAAGUGGCCGUCCCGGUCGCGAUCUUCGCGAGUGAGGGUCGGCUGAAAUGGAUGGAAUCGGGCCGCCGUGGUGACACAGUCCGCGAUCGGGUGAUUUUUCGCGAGCCUCCCUCCGGGAGGUUCGCCGUGAAUUUUUCUAAGUGCGUGGCUGCGUCCCCCAGUUGGUUUCGGUUCCCUCGUGCAGGUCGUGCGCGCCCCCGCGGCGCGCGUCACGCAUCAGACCUCUAAUCGGAAAAGACUACCCGCUGAGUUUAAGCAUAUCAAUAA